GACGAACGCUGGCGGCGUGCUUAACACAUGCAAGUCGAGCGGUAAGGCCCUUUCGGGGGUACACGAGCGGCGAACGGGUGAGUAACACGUGGGUGACCUGCCCUUAGCUCUGGGAUAAGCCUGGGAAACUGGGUCUAAUACCGGAUAUGACUCCAUGACGCAUGUUGUGGGGUGGAAAGCCUUGUGCGGCUAGGGAUGGGCCCGCGGCCUAUCAGCUUGUUGGUGGGGUGAUGGCCUACCAAGGCGACGACGGGUAGCCGGCCUGAGAGGGCGACCGGCCACACUGGGACUGAGACACGGCCCAGACUCCUACGGGAGGCAGCAGUGGGGAAUCUGCGCAAUGGGCGAAAGCCUGACGCAGCGACG
This 366-nucleotide ribosomal RNA is filed under the name uncultured bacterium. RNAcentral's name for it is "bacterial SSU rRNA". It matches the Rfam family "Bacterial small subunit ribosomal RNA", at positions 28 to 396 of the family's 1533-position model. The record is from RNAcentral.